CAGUCGCCGCGGUAAUACGAAGGGGGCUAGCGUUGCUCGGAAUGACUGGGCGUAAAGGGCGCGUAGGCGGCGGCCAAAGUCAGGCGUGAAAUUCCCGGGCUCAACCUGGGGACUGCGUUUGAUACUUGGUUGCUUGAGUGGGGAAGAGGGUCGUGGAAUUCCCAGUGUAGAGGUGAAAUGCGUAGAUAUUGGGAAGAACACCGGUGGCGAAGGCGACGACCUGGUCCUUUACUGACGCUGAGGCGCGAAAGCGUGGGGAGCAAACAGGAUUAGAUACCCCAGUAGUCCCUGUCUCUUAUAC
RNAcentral lists this ribosomal RNA (301 nucleotides) under uncultured bacterium. RNAcentral's name for it is "partial 16S ribosomal RNA". It matches the Rfam family "Bacterial small subunit ribosomal RNA", at positions 509 to 807 of the family's 1533-position model. The record is from RNAcentral.